GCCAGUGUGGUAUAGUGGCUUGAACAAUGGACUAGGACUCUGGAGAUCAGGGUUCAAAUUCCCACUCAGCCA
This is a non-coding RNA of Phrynosoma platyrhinos (Desert horned lizard), 72 nucleotides long. NCBI's taxonomy places the organism in Eukaryota, Metazoa, Chordata, Lepidosauria, Squamata, Phrynosomatidae. The record is from the annotation of a GenBank genome assembly.